UACGUAGGGGGCAAGCGUUGUCCGGAUUUACUGGGCGUAAAGAGCGUGUAGGCGGUUUGGCAAGUCCGUUGUGAAAGCCGGGGGCUCAACCCUCGAAUGCCGGUGGAUACUGUCGGGCUAGAGUACGGAAGAGGCGAGUGGAAUUCCUGGUGUAGCGGUGAAAUGCGCAGAUAUCAGGAGGAACACCUAUUGCGAAGGCAGCUCGCUGGGACGUAACUGACGCUGAGACGCGAAAGCGUGGGGAGCAAACAGG
Molecule: ribosomal RNA, 253 nt
Filed under: uncultured bacterium
Lineage: Bacteria
Description: partial 16S ribosomal RNA
Rfam family: Bacterial small subunit ribosomal RNA
Source: RNAcentral